RNAcentral lists this ribosomal RNA (714 nucleotides) under uncultured bacterium. RNAcentral's name for it is "bacterial SSU rRNA". It matches the Rfam family "Bacterial small subunit ribosomal RNA", at positions 83 to 795 of the family's 1533-position model. The record is from RNAcentral.
AUUUGAUGGCGACCGGCAAACGGGUGCGGAACACGUACACAACCUUCCUAUAAGUGGGGAAUAGCCCAGAGAAAUUUGGAUUAAUACCCCGUAACAUAAUGAUGUGGCAUCACAUUAUUAUUAUAGCUACGGCGCUUAUUGAUGGGUGUGCGGCUGAUUAGAUAGUUGGCGGGGUAACGGCCCACCAAGUCUACGAUCAGUAGCUGAUGUGAGAGCAUGAUCAGCCACACGGGCACUGAGACACGGGCCCGACUCCUACGGGAGGCAGCAGUAAGGAAUAUUGGUCAAUGGACGCAAGUCUGAACCAGCCAUGCCGCGUGAAGGAUUAAGGUCCUCUGGAUUGUAAACUUCUUUUAUCUGGGACGAAAAAAGGCUAUUCUUAGUCACUUGACGGUACCAGAUGAAUAAGCACCGGCUAACUCCGUGCCAGCAGCCGCGGUAAUACGGAGGGUGCAAGCGUUAUCCGGAUUCACUGGGUUUAAAGGGUGCGUAGGCGGGCAGGUAAGUCAGUGGUGAAAUCCUGGAGCUUAACUCCAGAACUGCCAUUGAUACUAUCUGUCUUGAAUAUUGUGGAGGUAAGCGGAAUAUGUCAUGUAGCGGUGAAAUGCUUAGAUAUGACAUAGAACACCUAUUGCGAAGGCAGCUUACUACGCAUAUAUUGACGCUGAGGCACGAAAGCGUGGGGAUCAAACAGGAUUAGAUACCCUGGUAGUC